GUCUCCUGAAACUGGCUGUGAAAAAAAAUGAGGGACUUCAAUAAAGAUAUGGAAGGAGGACCCUACAUCCUUCUGUAUCCUGAUGGAUCAAAAGUCAUCAACAUCCCUGGGACACAAAAGCCUUUCACGCUGAAAGAAUACAAAGCAGAAGUAGGCCGGACACAUGCACAAAUUACACUUUUUAUAUUCCAUGAAAAGGACCGGGAAGAAGAUCGAGAACUUGGGUCAGAGCAUUCAGAAUCUGACACUGAGGUUGUGAUUGGAAGUAGAAGACGUACAGCUGAGUUUGAUCUCGCUGACACACUGCCAUUGGAACCAGAAUGAAAGCAGCCCCAUACCAAACGUGAGAGGAACAAUCAAUCGUCUUGGGGGACCGUCACCAGUGAGUGCAGUACCAGAGGUAGUAAUAUAUUGCUAGAGAUUACUUGUCACAAUCCAAUUCAAACUACAUGGGAUUGCCUUUUAUGUGUGUAUUAGGCUACUCAUUUGUAUAUAGGCCUAAUGUAGUUUCAUAGAUUAUAGACAGCUAUAUUUGUAAUCACAUUCUACUUUCUGCGUGUCCAGUAUUUUAAAGAACGGGCAUAGGCAUAGCCUAAUAAAGCAUUGGUCAUUCUUUAUUGAAAAACCCAGGAGUUAAAAGUAAAAUGUAAACAACCACAGAGAUGGUUAAUCCCAAAGCAUUGAAAAAUGAUCAAAAUGUAUUACUUUCUAGAUGGUAAUGCAAAUGAGUAAAUAGAAAUGUAAAAUUUUAAUCAAAAUGUGCAAGUCUCUUCACUGACAGUAAGUACAUUCUGAAUUAACAUGGAUUACCUAUGAGGUAAGUGGUAGAGUUCAUUUGGUAUUCCCCCAGGACAUGAUGCAAGUCUGGAGGGCCAAAUCCUGUGCUUGUUCCAGAGAUCGGUUUAUUCAUUGAGAUCUUUCUGCAGAAUAUUUCUAAAGCAGAAUCUGAGUAGACACUGGUGUUCAUUGCUGCCAUUAAAGUGUCCUGCGUCUGUGAAGUCCAUCCAAAAUUGAGCCCUAGGAAUAAAUUGAAUACAACUCCAUAAAUAAAAUGAAUUGUGACCUGCAAUACUGCAAGUGCUUUAUAAAAGUACAACACGGUGUUAACAAAGUAUUGCAAUGGUGGCUCUAGUGACACCAGGGUAGCCUACAUCCUUAACAGUGGUUCCCAACCAAGGGUAGUAGGGUUGAGCCCAGAGACUGUAAAAAAUAUGGACAAAGCUACUGUGACAUUUAGCAAUCUCAUACACACACACUACCAGCAUCAUUGACGUCCUAGCAUUCUUAUACAUCCACUGUACUAAUGCAAUAUCACUUUUGUGCACAUUUAGACGUCGUCGCUCACCUGAAAUCACAAGACAUACAGUACAUCGUGGUUAGCCAACUGUAACCUGGCACGCUCUGUCUACUACUGUCUUCACACCAUCCGUUCAUGUAAAAAAUAAUAAAACCAGAGUAAUGAGAACAGCGUCUUUUACUGCUACCAGUACCACAGAGCGAAUGCGUAAGUGAAUGCAAUGAUAAGAAAACUUUCGGUUACGCUGACCUAUAAAACGCUAUUCCAAAAGCAAAAUUAGACAUACAUCGUUAGAAAGCUUAUAC
This is a long non-coding RNA of Anguilla rostrata (American eel), 1602 nucleotides long. RefSeq lists it as uncharacterized. Lineage: Eukaryota; Metazoa; Chordata; Actinopteri; Anguilliformes; Anguillidae. The transcript has 4 exons. The record is from RefSeq and is a predicted model, not a curated record.